Molecule: long non-coding RNA, 6315 nt
Filed under: Podarcis lilfordi (Lilford's wall lizard)
Lineage: Eukaryota; Metazoa; Chordata; Lepidosauria; Squamata; Lacertidae
Source: RNAcentral
GAAACCACAGAGCCUAGGGCUUGCCGAUCAGAAGGUCAGUGGUUCAAAUCCCUGCGACGGGGUGAGCUCCUGUUGCUUGGUCCCUGCUCCUGGCAACCUAGCAGUUCGAAAGCACGUCAAAGUGCAAGUAGAUAAAUAGGUACUGCUCCAGCGAAAAGGUAAACGGUGUUUCCAUGCACUGCUCUGGUUCGCCAGAAAUGGCUUAGUCAUGCUGGCCACAUGACCCGGAAGCUGUAUGCCGGCUCCCUUGGCCAGUAAAGCGAGAUAGUACCGCAACCCCAGAGUCGUUCACAACUGGACCUAACGGUCAGGGGUCCCUUUACCUUUACCUUUACCUCCAUGUUACACUAAAUUUCAAAUAGUAGAAAAGAACUGUAUGCUGUUAUAUAUAUAUACCCCAAAUUUCAUCAUACAAAAUUGUAACACAAAACUCUCAUGAUGUUCUGAUAUAAUGAGGUUGCAAAAGGUUUUUCUUUCUGAAAACAAUUAGCAUGGAAAUGAGCACUAAACCUCUGAUAGAUUUUCAGGAGAACAGAGAACUUUGAAGGAUACCUGUGUUUCAGUUUGCAUUUUGUUUUGAAAAGUGUGAAUUAAGUAGGCUCACAUUAAAAUCUGAAUCAAUCUGAAUUUUUCUUCUAUCUCUAGCUGCAGGCCUUAAUGUGACAAAUAAAGUGCUCCACAAAUAAAACCCUAAUGUUUAAUAAUUGCAUUUCUUUUACCUAAAAUAAUGUUUCUUCCAUUCUCCUGCCCUCCUUUCAAUGUGUUUUAAAGAAAGCACUCCCAAGCUUCAAGCUGCUCACUUAGAUUUACAACCAAACUGGGCACAACAUUUUCUGGCAGGACAGAUGCAAGACAAUGUAUUCUUUUAGCUAUCAAGAGGUCCUUCAGUAGCAGAUUUAACCUAGUCAAUUAAGUGUAUAAAGAAAUCUCUGCCGCUGGAUAAGGUAACUAAGUGUGUGGGGAGCAACUUGUGGUUACAUUUAAAACAUGCAAUUUUUACUCCCUGUUUAAGUAAAGGAAACAAUAAUGGGGACCUUAAUUGCAAAAAAUUACCACUGUUCCUUUGAGUUUGACAUGUGCUUAAUGACAAGGCGGAUGGAAACAUUAAGGGUAAUGCUGCUUGGCAGACAAUUGGAGCUGAUAAUCACCCUCAUAAAGCUAUUGAUAGUAAUCUAUGGACGUAUUCUGCUAAUUCCAAGCAGAAGUGGCUCAUUGUGCAGAGUUAAGAUGCUGCCUGCUGCAGCAAAACAAUAAAGGAUACAGCGUUCACAUAGUUCUAAGGACUCCUUGAGGGAUGAUUACUUAAAGAUGCAAAAUGCUAGUUCAGUCAUUACCACCACCAUCAGAGGUGAACACUUUUUUUGCAACAUGCUGAGUUUCCAUAUGAUAGCACAGUAUUUGCUAGGGGAGCUUGUGCAUGUCCACAACUUUGGUUAAGAUUUGAAAGCCAAGAUUGCUCUGGUUGUCUGUGGCAUGAUCCCCACUUUCAAAGGGCUUCCCCUGCUGUGGCAAAGCGGGUUCUUCCCUUCUUCAUUCCAGCAAGGGAAGCCUUUAAAAACGAUGAUCAUGCUUGUGUUAACACUGCAUGCACACUCAUGUCAUGCCCACUUGUAGUAUGCACUCUUGUAGUAUACACUCAGCCACUGCCGCAGGUUGACCUCAGUGGGGAAAAGGAUGUUCAUCUCUGCAAUAAGAACUUUUUCAGAGGGCCCAGCCAGGCAAGUGUCCUUGGUGAGUCCUGCCAGGACACUGGAACUCUGGCUUUGAGGGUACCUGGUGAGGACAGCACCCCCAUGUGCACAACAGAUUGGCACAGAAAACCAUUUGUUUUCAUUUUGCUUUUUUACUUCAAGUCUCUUGUUGCUGGUUCUUAAUAUCUUGAGAGGUUGCCUAUAUAUAUACUUGUGGGUGGCCUGAACAUCUGAUCUGCUCUAUUAAUGGUCAAAGAUCGCCAUGAAAUACUCCAUAUCCUUUUACUUUGUGCUCAACUAUCCUUCCUGAAAAGUCAAUAGCUUUCAUAGUUUUAAUACUUUCGCACGCAGCAUGGAGAAUUGAAACUGAUCAGAAAACAGCACUUUCCACUUAAUUUGGUAAUCUGUAACCUCCUAAGUGCUACAUUACAGGAAAGGGGGAAACAAUAAUUUCACUAGUAAAACGUGACUUCUUUUCUAGGACAAACUAGGCUAAGGGGAACAGCAACACGGUGAAAUUUCAAUGGCCCAGAACUAUGCUUGCUGUAUAAGGGAAGGCAAACUCGAUUCUAUCUAAGGUAUAGAUUUCCAUUCUGACCCAAAUUAAUCACAUCAUAGGUGACAACUCCCUGGGGCUCUGGGUGCCCGAGCACCCACAAAUUCCCCAUGAAGGGGCCAGGCACCCACAAAUUUUGGUGCCAGGGCCAUGCACCACAGUCCCAGGCACCCACAGUCACAAGGCCAAGUUGGCACUCCUGAAUCACACGCAGCACUGUUUCCAUGCCACUAGAGUUUCACUUAUGGGACGCGGGUGGCGCUGUGGGUAAAACCUCAGCGCCUAGGACUUGCCGAUCGUCAGGUUGGCAGUUCGAAUCCCCGUGGCGGGGUGCGCUCCCGCUGCUCGGUCCCAGCACCUGCCAACCUAGCAGUUCGAAAGCACCCCCGGAUGCAAGUAGAUAAAUAGGGACCGCUUACUAGCGGGAAGGUAAAUGGCGUUUCCGUGUGCUGCGCUGGCUCGCCAGAUGCAGCUUGUCACGCUGGCCACGUGAACCGGAAGCGCUGGCCCCCGGCCUCUUAAGCAAGAUGGGCACGCAACCCCAGAGUCGGACACGACUGGCCCGUAUGGGCAGGAGUACCUUUACCUUUACCUUUACAGUUUCACUUGCGGCAAAAAUGAAGUUAUUGGGCUCACUGCUCACCACAGUGGAAUUUUAUGUAAUCAGUUACAUUAUCAUGAUGUUAUUCCACAUCAUGCAUUUCAGUGCCAAGGAAAUGUAAUGCAAAUGUGGGGUGUGUGAGCGUGUGUCUCAACAUUUGCAACCGAAAACAACAGUAGUUAAAUACCAGUUGUAUUGGCUGGAUGUGGGAAGAACAAAUGAAUAUCAGCAGUUUCCACUCCAGUUUCCAUCAGAAUUCUCUGACAUCCAUGCCACACACAUGCACAAACGUAUUCACUUAGUAUGAAUCUUUCCUGACUUUAUUUAUUUAACAGGAUUUAUACACUGCUUAAUCAUCAUAACAUCUAAGCAGUUUAAAUAAAACAAUUUAAAUUAAAAUACUGGGGGGGAAAUCAGAUGUUGAAAACAAAAUUGACCCAAAAUAUUCAAACUUUGAAUAAAAUCAGCAGGGUUUUUUUAAAAAGAAAAUGUGUAAUAAAAUAAAUGUACAUGUCCGGACAGGCUUACCUAAACAAAACAAUUUUUUAGCAGGUGCCAAAAAUAACACAUUGAAGGUUCCUGCCUAAUAUCAAUAGUAAGGGAGCUCCAGUGUGUGGGUGAUGCCACAAUGGAGGACUUAUUCCUUGCAAGCAUGGAGCAAACAUUAUGUGGCAUUUCCGACAGUGCUGGAGUUAUGUGGGUCUCUGGGUCACUCCUUGGGGUGAGCAGGCCCUGCAAAAUCGCUUCCAAAUGUAAGUCAUAAGUAAUGGUUUAAUGAUCUCAAGGAAAACAAUCUAGGCUUCUCAUUUUAGUUUGGAUUGGGUCCUAGUGAUGACACCACUACCUCACACCAUGACUACAACUCAGGGUCUCCUGCCACUGUGCAUUACUUACUGCCAUGCCAUCAUCUGUUUCGUAAGCUUUUUCAUAAACAAACAAGGUCCCUCAGCAAAAGACAGUUCCUGCUCCACUCCCCAUUUUUAGUCCAUUUGCUUUCAGGUAAGCACCUGAGGGCUCUGAUUUUGUCUUAAAAUGGGAUUAAGUCCAAGGCUUCCCAGAAGUGUUGGCGUUGAGGAGGGAUUUUGAAGGAAUCGAGGUGGACCAUCUAAGUAUUUUGAAAAGGCACACAAUGCACAGAGGCCAGAAGAGAGGCAACUGGGAAGGUCAUUAAGCGAGCAGGUGCAUUUCAGGUGACUAUGUGUAGUGCAGUUGGAAGAAUGUCACACGGUCAAGGUAAUGUGGGUAUUAACUUGUUUUCUCCACCUGUUUGCUGAGCUUUGUCCAUAAAGAACUGCUUGAAUCAGCAUCUUGAUCAAGAAAUAUCCAUAAAAUACUUAGGCAGCAGAGUUUCUGUUCCUACUUUUCCCUUUAUGGGAAAAGUCUCUGCUGAUACUGCCAUUUUGCAAAGCCCUGAAGCACUCUAUAGUUGUGAUCUAGGUUGCAGGUUUGAUCCCUGUAUGGUACAGCUGCAUAUUCCUGCAAUACAGAGGGUUGGACUAGAUGAUUCUCAGGGUCCCUUCCAACUCUACAAUUCCAUGAUUCUAAGAACGCUUCCUAUAAACAUGAAAAAUGAAUACUUCCCUCAAUGCAGUUGUGUUAGAACAACACUUACGUGUUUGGUAGAAGUGCGAAUUUCAAGGGUUUCAUAAUAAGGAUAGAUAACAAACAAGAAUGUGAGAUGUGGGUGGGUGUAAUGUAAAAGCAUUAAAAAUGUUCCUCCAGUGAUUACAUUCUUUGCUUUUUUAUUAUACACAAAGGGUUGUAUCUAUAAUGUUUUAAAGUAGUUAUAUGCACCAUAGCCAGAUAUGAUUCAUUUGGCCAUUGCAUUAACAUUUUAGUGCCGUUUUAUCUAAGAGUUCAUGGUAUGUUUUUAAAACCCUGGCUUAAUGGAAGCCAAUCAAUCAUCACAUUUUUCAAAGCACAAAUUAUUUUAAAUUUUUGUACUACACGGAGAUAAUCACUGCAGAAAGAUAUGCAUAUCCUAGUGUUUUGACUGAUGUCAUUCAUUUUUCUUGAGGCUGACCCGUAUGAUGGUUUAAGUGCUGAAGUUAAGCAGGCAAAUGGAUGUGUUUUUCUGGGGUGUUUCCACUACAGCUGCCUUUUUAGCUCUAAAAAUGCCAAAUGUCUGAUAGCAAUAUGCAGCUGCUGCUCCUCAUAGGAACAAAAUUAACUGGAGUGAUCACUGACAGCCUAUGCUUGCUCCUUUUCAUCAUUUCUCCCAUAAAUGAAGACCCAACACAUUUUUUUCAGAAAUGUGAGUAUGGGGUACAGUCCCAGACAGGAACGUAAUAAGUUGCCUUCUACCAUGCUGGACUCUUGGACCAUCUACAUCAGUACAGACCACACUGACUGACAGUGGCUCUCCAGGGUUCAGACGGGAGAUAUCUAGGGCUACCUAGACAAUUCAGGGUUUGAACCUGGAAGCUUCUGCAUGCAAAGCAGAUGCUCUACCAGAGUUGCACCCCUUCCCUGAAAAACUGGAAAGCUCAUUGGAAAUGUUUACAUGCACACACUUCUCUCCAUCUUCCAUCCAGGCAAGCAAGAGGCAUUAUGGCUGUCCAAGGGCACAACUGGACAGGGCAAAGCACCUGAGAAGAGUGCGCAGCAGAUCUGAAUAGAGGUGUGGUGUAGGGAGGGGGAGCGAAGUGGCAAGGGUCACCAGGGUUGAAGAGAAAGGUCUGGGAGGAGAUGCACAUUUGGUCCUCUGGACCUGAACUUCCCCACUCCAGACCUACUGGUGAUGAUCAUGGCCCUCUGAUUCUCAAUGGUUUAACAGUCAUAACAGUGGAAAGGCUUUCUUUGCUUUUAAGUUAGGCUGCUGAAAGGGGAGCUUGGCAAGAAGCCCAGAAAUAGAUUUUCAUGAAGAGGAACUGUGAGCUCAGCUUAGAUACUUGGGCAGAAGAUGCGCUCAGGGGAGGUCAAAAAGUUGAGUUGUCAAAUGGUCAGCUUCACAUUGGAGAGAAGGGCAAGUGGUGCCCAUAACUGUGGGACUUGAAGAGGAACAUUUGUCCUUUAAAGAGUUGGCAGGUGACGGGAGGGGGGGGCCUGACCACUGACAGAGGGACAGUGGUGGUGUUUGUAUUUGGUUGGUUGGUUUCCGUUUAUUUCUUCAACUACCCAAGGCAGUGACAGCAGUAGAGCUUUUCAUAGUGGCUGCCAUCUUUCUCCCUUGGAAUGCCCUGGAAUUGUGCUACAUCCUAUCAUUUUGAGGAAGCUUCUGGGGAUACAAAAUGGCAACCCCAACUAGUCAUUACAUUUGAUCCCAGAAGGCCCCUUAGAACAAUACAGUUCUUCAUAAUGAAUCCUAGGGUCGUGCAGGGAAGAGAAGAUGGUGGCUGGUGGCUGAAGGCUGUUGGGAAGAGCUCUGGCACUGCUUCCCCACCAAAGUCAAGAUCAGCCAUCAGUUCCACUGCUGUCCCACCAUGAUCAAUAAACCUGAAGGAAAGGUGGGGUAUAAAUGGUUUUUU